Molecule: long non-coding RNA, 570 nt
Organism: Olea europaea var. sylvestris
Lineage: Eukaryota; Viridiplantae; Streptophyta; Magnoliopsida; Lamiales; Oleaceae
Exons: 2
Source: RefSeq, a predicted model, not a curated record
UAAAAAUAAAAAUAGACCCAAUUACUCAAUCCAAUGGAUUGAAGAUGCAAAACCCGCUUGACUUGCUGGUUUUAUUCAAUUCACAAAUCACAGAGAUGCCCUCGGCACUUAAAACCCAUAAUUAAACAAUUCCAUCCAAUUCCAAUUUCCAAACCCAAUUCUCUGUUGCUAGCACACAUGCUAAGCCACUGUGGAGUCGUUGAAGUUGAGCCAUCGGCCACUGCAUCGCCGGUAACUGAUUCCAUUCGUAAUAGCGGGACGUGAGCGUCGACUGGUCAACGAUCACCUACCGCUUUCUUGUAUCCGCAACUGAAUGGAAAGGAAUGGCAGCUACCACUUCUUUGCAUCUGUGGCUCUAAAAUUUUUAUGAGUGGAAUCAUCUUGUUAUCUCCAUAGCCAAUGUUGUUUGUAGGAGCAGCAGAGAGAUUCAUUGUCAGCUUGGAAUGGAACUUAUUUAAGAGAAACGUCGUGUUAUUAUAUGUAUACAACUAACAUUGGUAAAUGAUUAAUUGGUCUACAAUUAAAAAUAUUUACUUAUUCAGAUGAAGCAAUAAAUAUUUUAGUGUACUA